CACCAGGUGCUUCCAGGUUGAGUGUAGCCCUCCAAGUGAAGUAGAAGUUUAUGAGUGUGUUCUUUAUGACUGUGAUUAGGAAUUGAUUUACAGCAUAGUGAGUUAAUCAAUCCAUCCAUAAAAUCUGCAAAUAGCCUCAUCUACCAAACACACAUACAGGUGUCCCUCUAACCUUUAGGUGGCAGCAGUUAUCCACUGACAAAUUCAAUUUCAUGCUCUGGUGACAGAAAAGCAAGAUGUAGCUUUGACUCUUGAACCUUCUGUCCAUGCUGACAAGACCUUUUAUACAUUCAACUUUAAAGUCUUUAUAAAGCUCCAUUAGGGAAAGUCUCUUUUUCUCCCCUCUCAGUAUUGACUCAGGAACAAACGCUAAAAGAGAUUAACAAAACAGGAAGAAGUGCAGCGAGAGUUUUGCUGUCGAGGGUCAUUGGUUUUCUCGAGAUGAGAGGGACAGCUCCUGUUGAGUAAAGACAACCACGUCCCAAACCACAGCUGGAACUCCUGAGGCGUCUGACAGUAAGACAUCACUGGUAUCUGGAGGGCAGCCAAGCCCACAGAUGUUGAUGGGUACGUACAGAAAGUCAAGGUCAAGACUAAAAACUCAGACAGGCAGCUAGUGAAAUCAGCUGAGGAGCUGCGUGAUGACUCAAGUGUCUCAUGAGGCAAGGGUUCCUGCUGAUUGUUGCUGUGAUGAGGCCGCUGCAGGUUCAGGAGUAAAGAAAGUCAAAAACAUUCACGAGGUACUCAAAGAAAAUUGGGUUCAAGUUUGAGUCAUGAGAGUAAAAAAUGAAAGCUUUCAGCCGUUUCAGAGUUUGACAUUCUCCAUUGCAUUUCCCUGAGAUCAUUUAUUUGGUCCUUUUGACAUUUAAAAACAGUGUAGUUUAUGCCCACCACAAAUUUAGAGACAGAGAGGAUGUUAAUUUUUCUCAUUAAAAGUCUAAAGAAUUUUUUUAAAUCCGUACCAGAAAACAUUAGUUACUUGGCAUUCUGCUUGAUUUAUGACAUUUUAAUUUGUAAUUUUUUAUUAAUCCACUAAUCAUUAUACUUCAGCUGCAGCACACACAAAAACAAGUUAACAAAUUUACCAGGGAACAAGAGAUCGAAAUGAAACAAAAGGAAGUUUCUUGAAGGCGCUGUGAAAAGUUUGUACUGAUUUUGAAAAAGCCUCAUUGUCAUUGCAACCUACAUGGUAGAAUAACAUGAACUGUUCUGAUAUCAGCUGUUUCUUUAAACUGAAAUUUAGUGUCUGUGUACAGGUACUGAGCAAAGUUAACAUGGCACUCAACCAUGAGUGUGCACGUUUACUUUUAAGACUAAUACUCAUGGCUUAAACUGGAGCAGAAUAAGUACAAAGACAUAUGUUUUCUGAUGAAGUAUUGUUUUAGACAGAAGAAACUCUUAAAUUGAGGCUUUGCAAGGUGAAGGGGCACAUGGCUAUGACUUCUCUUCAAAGAUAUAGGAGUGAAAAUGGACAAGAGUAUUGGUUAUAUGACACCAGGUUUGAUGGAUAAUGUUAAACAAGAACAGCUGGUCAUUUUUAGGGGAUAACUAACAGCAGUUAAUCAGAGUUUACAAAGUUUUGUCAUUGUUAGGUUACACUAAAUAAUCAAAGAAGUACAAAGAAGAAAAUCUGAUUUUUCCAAAAGGAGUCACCAGAAUCAACACAACAUGAAAACUCCUCACAACACCUUUAAAAGUUGAAUUCACUAGUUUUGUAUUUGUUUUGAUACAUUAUUACCUACACUGUUAUAUACAUAGGUUUUGUUAUAGAUUAUUGUAGGUGUCAAGCCCACCUGGUUGAAAUAUGUCAAACCACCGGUGUUUGUUUGGUGUGUUCAGGCAAAUUCAGCUAAAUAAUUCAUGACAAACUUACUUCCAACAGCUUGACUUUGAGGUAAAAACGACCUAAAUUUGUAUUUUCUGUAACUUUAAAAAGGUUCUCUCACAAGCUCCACCUAUUAUUUACAGUUUUAAAUCAACAUGAUGUUGAGACGACCUGUCAGAUAAUGUCCUCUUACAGUCAGAGAGUCACACACGCAGCUCAAAAACUGCAAAUGUAGAUUCUGAGACAACAUUGUUUAUAUAGACGAGGACAGGCAAACACCUGCUGUUUCAAUGCUGGCAUAAGCACAGUUGUCAUAAUAAUAACAGAACUAAUGAAGCUACAGUAACACAUUAAAGGGGGUCAUAUUUUUCAUUGGUCUAUUUCACCACAUAACUGAAUCAUCAGUCAGCUCAGGCUCCAACUCAGGUGUUAGUAUUUGUCUUUGCACUCCCAGCAGAAACUGUGUCUGUCUAUAGACCUUAAAUCAAGCUACUCACCCAUGUUUUAUAUUGUUUGCUAGUGAGUCUUCUCCUCUGCUUUUGUAAGCGAGGCCAUGUGUGUAACUACAUCAGUCAGGGAGCUCAGGGAGAAAACACAAGUUCACCUUUUGAAGCAAAAACACUGAGACACAAAUAUUGUGAGGCAGGGAGGGAAAAGGAGAAUAAUAAAAGCAGCCAGCAUAAAUAAGUCUGCAGAUAUCUCCUCACUGCUGCAGUAUUAGAUCACAGAGUCCACAUUUGACCGUCCAGUGCUAUUUGAGGCCAUUUCCAGACACAGUAAUCUCCCGCUUAUCAGAUGUCUUGCUAUACAUAAUGCAAUCAAUAUCAACCAGACCGCAAACAAAAAACUGUCGCGUGAGUAUUCUGUAACAAGGCGUGCGUCAAUAUCGGUAACACAGACUGACAGAGUUACAAACAGCUGAGUCUGCCUGACUCAACAGCUGAGUCUCCUUUACGCUGCUGGUCAUCGGCAUUACAACUGCAUGAAUUAUACACACUGCUGUAACCAUAACAAUGAACUCUGACCUUCACUGUGAAGGUGUGGCUGUUUAAGUGAGAGAAACAACACACUUACAGUCAAGCCCUCAACCAUGAUCCUACACUCAACUUCUGAGACACGGUUAAGGCUGCGAGGGGGAGCAUGUGGUACGAGAGCACGGAGAGAUUUGUAGACGUUUGUAUUUAAUGUUUUCCCCGGCAAAGGCCAAUAUUUUUCAGACCCCUAAUGAACUUUUUAAAGGUUUUCCAAUGAAGAUUUGUAGCAUAAGUCAUGAUAAUCAUGAUAAAACCAUUUUUUGAGAUUUUUACAGAUAGAUAGAUAGAUAGAUAGAUAGAUAGAUAGAUAGAUAGAUAGAUAGAUAGAUAGAUAGAUAGAUAGAUGACUUUAUGUAAUUGUUGUUUGUAAUUAUAUUUCCCCUCUGUUAGAUAAUGACUUAAUGCGUCCUUUCAUCAAUUAUCCAUCGACAAAGACUUCAAAUCCCCCCGUGCAGACCCCUUUGAAGAGUCUCAUGUUCAGCCUUAUCCAAAAAGACCCCCCUCUUACUGCCUUCUCUCUAAUCCUGACGGAUACACGAGCCCCCAGACCCCCUCAAACUCUCCGAUGUCUACUUCUGCCCUUAAGUGGUUUUGUCCUUUAAGUCUGUCUCCUCUAUGUUUUAUCUUACAGCCCCUCUUUCCACUGCAGAGGACAUCUGAUACAUGAUGCAGAUGAUGGUAAUGUGUCUGGUGCUCAUGUAAAAAUAAAAUCCCCAUCUCUCUCUGAUACAGGCGAGGGUAUUAUCCUCUGUUAUGGAAAAAGGUUGGCAGUAAAUAAUGCCCCCCUAAAGCUGAAUGUUUUAGUACAAAGUUUGGAAAUAAUUUAAAGUUCUUGAUUUCUGUUAGAGCAAAAUGAAAGCAUUUCUGGUUUGCUGCAGGCUUGCACUUGCAGGCCUACAGUAUCCAAAUCAUUAUUAGAAAGAGACAGAGAGGGGGCUGGACAAGAGUCACCAUUUAUGUGUUUGAGGGCUGGUGUAAUUUCAGCUGCAGAGAUAGGAGAUGCUAAAUUUGGCACAUGUGCUACAGAGGAGUGCUCUCUGUAGCUCUGCUCGACAAGAUGACGGUGAACCAGACCAGCAGACCCAACGGCAAUCACUCUCAUAAAACAGAUUGUUCACCUUGCUGGGGUACAGCCACACACCUAUGACUAAGCAGCUAGAAGGGUUUUUUUUUUAAAGUGGUGAUUCAUGUUGUUCAGUACUGAAGCAGCUCCCUUAGUCCAAUAUUUAAUUCUUACCAAACAAUACAAGAACAGCUGGAUGUUCUGUAAUAAAUAAUAUUCAAGUCUAAGUUGAAGUCAAUAGCAAAUCCCAGUUUUGUCUUCUAUUGCAAUUACACAAUUUGCCUAAAUCGUGCAGAACCUUAGUUUACCACAUUUUACUUUCACCCAUUCAGGCACUAAAAGAAGAGGAUGUUGUGUUUAAAGUCCAAGGACCUCCAGCCCUCGUUUCCCUGCAGGACCCACGGAGCCAGAUAUCAACAGUUGUCCUCUUCAUCUUGGUCUUGCCACAGAAAAGAGCAGGUGCAUUUACCAUUUUGGCAAAUUUCAAUCUUCUUGACCGUUUCCUCAGGAUAUGGAAGACUGUAACAUGGACUAAUAAUCACCAGCAAUCCCCACCUUGUUGGCUGUUGUUUCAUUUUUGAGGUAACAAGCAAAUAUUAGCAUGCUGUAGGGUGACCAUACUCUGACUUCCCAAAAGAGGACACAACCAUGCGGGGGCGGAGUCACGGAGCCGCACAAAGUUUAUUUUGAGAGUUUUUUGAGUUAGAUCGAGUGUCUUUUACGCGCUAAGAACUUAGUAAGUCCAUGUGACACAAAAUAGAAACUUACGUACAAAACCACAGACAUUUGAAGGAUUUUAUAAACUUCCCCAAACGCAUUAUUUUUUUUUUUUUAGGAUGGUGGGGAAAGUCCUGCCUCCUUCGCCUCUGAUUGGCUAGAAAAGCUGGAAAGGUCAUCACAUGCUCAAGCCAAACCCAGGCUGUUGGCUCUGUACAUCGAACAGAACAUUACAGAACAUUAUCGCACUUCUGAAUUUCCUAACCCUAACCCUAACCCUAACUUGACAUAUGAUGAUGUUUCACAGCCAUUAGGAAGAACUAAUUGGAACCCAGCACUUCUAGCCAAUCAGAGGCGAAGGAAUUCGGGACCUUCCCCUACCAUCCUCAGACAAAGCCAGACAGCCUGGACAGCCCCCCAAAAAGAGGACAUGUCCGGGUAAAAGAGGACGUAUGGUCACCCUAGCAUGCUGAGAUGAUAAAGGAUGUUUUUUAGUGGUUAUAGUUGUAAAGCGUCAAUAUGUUUACAUCAUCCUUUUUGGCUUGUUUGGUAGAUGUCCUCUCGUCUGCUUGCUAAAUUUAGCAUGUAGCUUUAAACGCCGCUGUAAGGACUUGUAAAGCAGACAGCAAGGUUAGAGACUGUCCCCUUCUUUUUAAGUCGGACACUUUUAAAGUAAGCUAGUUAGUUUUAAAUCCAUAAAUUCAAGUGUUCAUUUUGUAUAAGAGUAGCAUCUAAGUCAUCAAAUAAUCUUCCUUAAUCAGCAGCAAGUUGUUUACAUAUUCUUUGGAGGAAAACUGUCUUCUGCCCCGCCUGACUACUGUCUGCUCUCCAGUUAUGAUCCUCCCAGAUAUGAAAGCUGAAUAUUGCUGACAUUAUUCAUGACACUCCAGGGAACAAUAACCCAGGUGACUUACUUCCAACCUCAAAAAGCAAAUAAAAAAUAUUGAGGAGAAAGUCACCCUUGGGGGAAUUUAUUUACUUACUUAGUUUAUAUUCAGGGGUGUCAGCAUUUCUCUCUGUCGCCUGGGGUGCUGAAUGUGACAACUUUGAAAUAAAAGGCCCAAAACUCUUUUUUUUAUUUUCUUAACUGCCAGGAAAGCAUAUUUAUCUGACAAACCGAUGAUACUGGUACGAAGGACUUUACUGUGUUGUGGGUGUUUGAUAAAGCAUAAGUUUGGCAGAGUCGGACUCGGGGUUCUUAAAAAAAGGCUCGUAUAAAACAGUAGAUCUAUCAUGUUGAGCCAUAAGAGUAAAAGCUAAGAAUAGGUCCUCAUCUCUCUCCUCUCUUCUCUCUCCAGAUAAAAAUAAUGACCUCCCCUUUUUAAUAAGCCUGGCCAUAAUAAAUGCAAGUUAAUCUCCCCCCCUCCUCCUCCUCGUCCAUCUAUCCAUGCCUUCUUUUCUCUGCAAAUGUCCCACUUUGUUCUCUGCUGUAAUGGUACGAGUAUUUUCAGCCCCUGAAUGGAUGGAUGAUGAACACAUUCCUUCCCCGUCAUCAGUUACCCCUCUCUGUAAUGUAAUGUAAUGAAAUGAAAUGUGAUCCUUAAUGGCUCUCUGUAGGGAAAUUUCCUUUUCACUUUCUGGCUUCACAUGAAGAGCUCACGAUCAGCGGCAGAGCAGGGGGGGACGUGGUGUCAUGUUCAAGGACACUUCAGGAAGGAUAGUACUGAUCCUCUUGUCGUGGUCACUUUACUUAUCACGAAAACUCUCAUGAAUCCAAAAGUGUGUUUUGUUUUGUUUUUUUAAAAAGUCAAAAGCAUUAAUCCACAAUGCAACAAUUUCCUACAAAGACAACGGGUCCUUGGAAAGCUUGGUCAGUUUUUGUUUGUAGUGGUGGAAGAACUUCUCAAAAGCAGCAAUAUAAGUAUGUAAAAGUUUGACAAAAAAAUAUUCAAACCUCUUUUCCAGACUUUAGAAAUAUUGUGUCCUUUUCUAUGAUGUAUGAUCAUUUCUAAAAUGAUCAGUACUGAUCCAUCGGCAUUUUACUGUCAGACUUUUACUUUAUUCAAUCCAAAUUAAUUUGAUUUCCAGUUUAAUUUUUUUCUUAUGCUGUAAGAUCAGCUUCUGAAGGAAAUUAAGAUUAGUUCAAAAUCAAUUGAACUUUAUUACAUUUAACACCUUUCAUGCGUACAAGCAUGCUGCCAAAUCUGCUUCUCAGUACUUUAGGGGGGGCAGGAGCUUUGUCUAUAGGGACUCGGCUCAGAAACCAGAGGGUUCAAGACAGUUCAGGUCCCAGUGGUAUAAUCCAACGUUUGGAGGUCAGACUAGUUGCUGGAGACGUGUCAAUUUAUUUAAGGGCCACUGCUGGGGUGCCUUUGAGCAGGGCAGCAAACCCCCAAACUACUCCAUCAGUGCAUGCAACAGAUCCAUGUUUGAAAAGAUGAAAUUAUAAAGACUAAAACAGGACUUUAACUACUUUUGAUAGUCAUUAGAAUAAGUCAAUUACACAGGUAAAGAAUUGCCUGUUUGGUCAAUUUCUAAUGAGAAGUCAAGUGUUUUAAAUGCAACUUUUCAAGGUGCAAAAAGCCAAAAUUAAAAGCUUCUGUGAAGAACUUUUAGGUUAUGAUUUUGGCACCACCUAUUGACAAAAGCGGUUCUUGUUUCUUUUUAUUAGUGUUAUGUACUCAAAAUGGAUUUUUUUAUUAUUUAAAUUCGAAGUAAUCCUUCACCACAGCUGUAAAAUUAAUGCAUCAGGGUUUGUCAUUUUCUCUCAGGUUUAAUUUAUUCUCUGAAAUGGAUGGAGGUAUAAAGUUGUGAUCAAUAAAAACAAUAAAGAAGACUUCCCAGUGAAACUCUACUAAAGUGGAAAACUUGAGUGAAUGUAGUUUCCACUUGGCGCUGAGAACUUACACCGAUUUCCUCCUUUGACCACACACAGCCCUGGAGAUCUCACAUCGCUCAUCUCUCAGCAGCUCCAAAAUACAUCAAUUAUUGAGUAAAUGAGAGACGAGAGCACCAGAGUCAGGCUGCUGCUGGUCGUCCAUCUCCACAGUGUCUCACUGACCUGAGUGUAGAGCAGCGGUUCUUUGAAAAGUUCACCCUGACCGUGUGAAGAAGUGAUGAGCAGCCUGGUUCGCUGAUGGAUGGAGGGUACUAUUAGUCCAGUAGCCCGGACCUGCCAAACAUAAAUAUGGUCUCUUAUUUUGGCCUUUCAGGACAGGCUGACAGGGCUGAGGUUUAUUGAAGGGGGCUGAUGAAGUGAUGGCAGGCUGGAGGGGCACAAUAAGAAUUUAAAUGUACAUCCAAGCCCUGAAAACUUUUUUAUUUGGCUCAAAUAAAGCCCUUUCACAACAAAGGAAAAAAGAAAACGUUAAGGGAAAGAUUUAUUGUAAGCUAUCUUGUAGACAAAUGGAACAAAUUCUCCUUUUUCCAAAACACUUUAUCAGCACAGUGCCUCUGAAACUGGAUCCCCUGAAACUGAUUAACCCCUUCUAACAGGACGGGCUGCCGGCCAGCGUCUUGGCCCUGCCUC
Molecule: non-coding RNA, 8108 nt
Organism: Xyrichtys novacula (pearly razorfish)
Lineage: Eukaryota; Metazoa; Chordata; Actinopteri; Labriformes; Labridae
Source: the annotation of a GenBank genome assembly